CGGCGAGCGAACGGGGAGCAGCCCAGAGCCUGAAUCAGUAUGUGUGUUAGUGGAAGCGUCUGGAAAGGCGCGCGAUACAGGGUGACAGCCCCGUACACAAAAAUGCACAUGCUGUGAGCUCGAUGAGUAGGGCGGGACACGUGGUAUCCUGUCUGAAUAUGGGGGGACCAUCCUCCAAGGCUAAAUACUCCUGACUGACCGAUAGUGAACCAGUACCGUGAGGGAAAGGCGAAAAGAACCCCGGCGAGGGGAGUGAAAAAGAACCUGAAACCGUGUACGUACAAGCAGUGGGAGCACGCUUAGGCGUGUGACUGCGUACCUUUUGUAUAAUGGGUCAGCGACUUAUAUUCUGUAGCAAGGUUAACCGAAUAGGGGAGCCGAAGGGAAACCGAGUCUUAACUGGGCGUUAAGUUGCAGGGUAUAGACCCGAAACCCGGUGAUCUAGCCAUGGGCAGGUUGAAGGUUGGGUAACACUAACUGGAGGACCGAACCGACUAAUGUUGAAAAAUUAGCGGAUGACUUGUGGCUGGGGGUGAAAGGCCAAUCAAACCGGGAGAUAGCUGGUUCUCCCCGAAAGCUAUUUAGGUAGCGCCUCGUGAAUUCAUCUCCGGGGGUAGAGCACUGUUUCGGCAAGGGGGUCAUCCCGACUUACCAACCCGAUGCAAACUGCGAAUACCGGAGAAUGUUAUCACGGGAGACACACGGCGGGUGCUAACGUCCGUCGUGAAGAGGGAAACAACCCAGACCGCCAGCUAAGGUCCCAAAGUCAUGGUUAAGUGGGAAACGAUGUGGGAAGGCCCAGACAGCCAGGAUGUUGGCUUAGAAGCAGCCAUCAUUUAAAGAAAGCGUAAUAGCUCACUGGUCGAGUCGGCCUGCGCGGAAGAUGUAACGGGGCUAAACCAUGCACCGAAGCUGCGGCAGCGACGCUGAUGCGUUGUUGGGUAGGGGAGCGUUCUGUAAGCCUGCGAAGGUGUGCUGUGAGGCAUGCUGGAGGUAUCAGAAGUGCGAAUGCUGACAUAAGUAACGAUAAAGCGGGUGAAAAGCCCGCUCGCCGGAAGACCAAGGGUUCCUGUCCAACGUUAAUCGGGGCAGGGUGAGUCGACCCCUAAGGCGAGGCCGAAAGGCGUAGUCGAUGGGAAACAGGUUAAUAUUCCUGUACUUGGUGUUACUGCGAAGGGGGGACGGAGAAGGCUAUGUUGGCCGGGCGACGGUUGUCCCGGUUUAAGCGUGUAGGCUGGUUUUCCAGGCAAAUCCGGAAAAUCAAGGCUGAGGCGUGAUGAC
This 1281-nucleotide ribosomal RNA is filed under the name Escherichia coli. RNAcentral's name for it is "partial 23S ribosomal RNA". It matches the Rfam family "Bacterial large subunit ribosomal RNA", at positions 247 to 1570 of the family's 2925-position model. Lineage: Bacteria; Pseudomonadati; Pseudomonadota; Gammaproteobacteria; Enterobacterales; Enterobacteriaceae. The record is from RNAcentral.